GGGAAAGGCCCGGUUGGCCCAAGAUGGCGGCCCACCCCUUCCCCCACCAGGCCUGGCUCCCGCCCCCGACCCUUCCUCUGCCCCCUCCCAUCUUUACACUGCAUUUACAUACCCAGGUACCUGCAGGCCCAAGCUCCCUUCCCACAAUCCAUCCCUUAAUUUUUAUUAUACACAUACUCUUCAGCUCAGGAAGCACAUUUAAGUUUUGGCAGAUGAACAGAUACAUCACGGCUGUCCUGAUACCAACAAAGGUGGCCCAGGCGGUUGGGGGCCAGGGGAACACCCGGGCCUAGAGGCAGGAAGGCCCUACUCCAAAGGGAGGCUCAGCCGGGAGACCCUGGGCCUGUCACCGGCCCUGCUUCCGGUUCCUUAACCGAAAUGGAACCAGGAACAGCUCCCACCUCAAAGCCAGGCCAGGAAUCCCCCCCACAGCAGGCAAACAGUCCAUUUCAGAAGCGCUCUCGUCCAAAGGGCUGACACAGCCAGAGCCGGGCGGGCCCUCGGUGAGCUGCAAAAUCCCUCGUUCGGGACACCCGGGGACACUCAGCACUUACUGCAAGAACGCCUACCUGAGCAUCAGCUGAGUGUGAGAGGAGAGAAGGCUCUUUAUCUUCAGAAGGACAUUGAGACUACACCAAAAGUUGGCCACUUUAUCCUUAAAAGAGAAUGGCUCGUUUUAGAUUUUUGUUAUGUGAACAUAUUGUUAUUAUUUUAGAAAUAACUUCCAAAAUUUAAGAAAAGCCCACCUUUCCAUAUAUUCUACCCUGAGGUAAGGGAGAGCAGAUAACGUCCAGGCUUUUGAGGUACGGUUUUUAAUGAGAGUUUAGGAAAGAGGUGCCCAAAAUAGCCAAGAGUUCCUUCCUUUGCCUCCCAAAGCUGUUGAUGGCAGCAAAAAUUUUUAAAAUAUAAUCCUCUAAAUCACAAAGGCUAUUUUCCCCACAUGCUAUUAUUACGUACCUGAAUUGACUGAAAAUAGCCUAACUUGCUGCUAGCAAUGACAGAGUUAACCACUAAUAAAUCAAGAAGUUUAAGGACAUUAGCAGUUGUGCUAGGAUCACUUUCAAAAUUAAAUCUGUAACCCAGCUCUCAUGCGCCUGAAACCCACCCUCUCCACAGCUGCUUCAGUCACAGCUGUGAAGGCCUAAGAGCGAGAAGGCAGUAAGCCGUCCUCCCACCAUCCUGUGCGAGCAGCAAGGAGAUGGUCCUGCUGCUGACCGGGAUUAGAAGGGAACGGGGGAGCCUGGCAGCGCCGGCCAGCAAACACUUAAGAUGCCAGCGAGAAAUGUUCUAACCAUCAGCAUUUGUUGCCAUUUCUGAAAUGGAAGCUGAGUCAGACGACGUGCGAGAGCCACACAAUCCUCCCCUGGCCGGGCUCUGCUGACAAGAGUUCUUCUGAUUUAUUUCAAUGAAGGGCCAAGGAAAUAAAUUUCCUGCUCACAUAAAACUUAUCUGAGUCAAUUAUGGGUAAAAAUAACAUAUAAACACAUGUGUCCAUAGGAACUCCCACCUUCUUGGGUUCCUCAUAAACCCUGGGCAGAUAUAUGUAAAAAUUAUUUUAAAAUAUGAUAGAGAUUUUUAUUUUUCUAAAAAGUCAAACUAAGGAAGCUGGAUCUUUAACUAGAAUUCCUUUAAAACUUCUCUUUUCCGCAACAAAACGGGCCAGAUUUUCAGGGUCAGCGCCCUGAAGGACGUGUCGUCUCUGGCUGGCUUCUGUCUAGUGCUCCUUGAGAGAUCGAAUCUCCACAUGCUGGCUGGGGUUCAGUUUAGUUAAAAGCCUCUGGACUGGGGAUAAUCUAAUGGCUGAGUUGAACACACCUAUUUUUAUAAUACAUCAAGAAGACUGAUAAAAUUGGGGUAGGAUUCAAAAUUUUCAGUUAAAAAUGAGCGCCAAUAAAACUGUCCUGAUUG
Molecule: long non-coding RNA, 1908 nt
Organism: Antechinus flavipes (yellow-footed antechinus)
Lineage: Eukaryota; Metazoa; Chordata; Mammalia; Dasyuromorphia; Dasyuridae
Exons: 2
Source: RefSeq, a predicted model, not a curated record